CCAAUUUUGCCCUAAGAAAUAGCACACGAUGGAACAAUCUCUCUGACAACGACAACUUGACAAGUCAGCCAUGUUGGACUUAAUUCUGCAAACAUAUGAUGUGCUUAAUGCAGUAGGGGAUGGUGCUUCUCACUGUCGAUAAGCACAUACAAAAGCUCACACGAUUGACAUUCAGCAAAACCAAAAAACAAAUGUAGAUUUUUGCAGUCUUGCAGAACCAAUUUUUUCGAAAGCAUCGGUAACUCUUCGUCUGAAAUACUUGUUUUAGAUUUGUCUAGAUACGGUUGUAUCUAUACAUGUUUUAUUAUUAAAUAUAUUUUUAGACAAUGAUAUUAGAUACGUCUAUAUCUUCACAAAUCUAAGAACAACUCUAGCAGAUGCGCUAUAACCUCGCCGGCCUACAUAUUUUCAGUGAAUUUAGCGUAUUUGUAUGUUUUGCAACCCAAACAGUUCUUGUAUAUUUGGUUCGGCCCGUAAAAAAUAUACUAGCAGCCCGCAAAACCGACCCCAGCCGCUAUAUCUGCCGAUCACGAGGUGAUUUAGGGUGCGUUCUUCAGUUCCUUUGUCGUCUCCUUUCUCAGCUGUCUCCCUUUCCAAACUCCGGCGAGAGAUUCCGUGGUGGGGAGUCCAUUUCCUCCAGAUCUAUGGCGGGAGGGCUUGCGGGCGUAGUGGUUGUUGGCGCAGCUCUCUCACACACAGUUGGACGGAGGUAGAAGAAAGAGCAGAACAAAGGAGCCUUUCCAGCGACAAACCCCCCGGCUGCAUGUACAGCCAUGUUUCUA
This 782-nucleotide long non-coding RNA is filed under the name Hordeum vulgare. RNAcentral describes it as "long non-coding RNA (HVUL_LNC008758)". Lineage: Eukaryota; Viridiplantae; Streptophyta; Magnoliopsida; Poales; Poaceae. The record is from RNAcentral.